UUCCUCAGUAGGCUAGAAGGAAAACAUUCCGUAAUGUUUUAGCUAGACCUCAGAUAAUAUGAACGUGUUCACUGUUCAAAUUCAUUAUUUGUCAUGAAGUUGCGUUCAGUUCAUCGUUCUCAUAAAAAUGAACGUGUUCAAUGAACGCGUUCUUUUGAAAAAGUAUGAUAAAGUAUGAUAACAAAAAGAGAGUGUCUUUGAGUUGUUUGACUGCGGAUGAGAGGUACUUACCACUAAAUUGUUCUGAGGUGUGAGAGGCAUGGGAAGGCGUUGGGGACUGUGUACUAUCUGUGAUGACUAAAACAAACAUUGAUAAACACAUCAUAUUAACCCUCUACAAUCACAAAGUGAACGUGAAGUCUUCAGAACUAUGUACAAUGAAACAUCAAUAUGUAAUGCCUUUCUAGCUCAUGAUUUCUGGUAGCAAGUUAAGCAAACUAAUACUAAUGAAACAAUGCUACAAACAUGCAACCAAGCCUCCAGUCAGUCCUUGAACAUUUCUGAGGCCAUGGAGCAAACACACACACAAACACCGGAACAUUUUUUAUUUUUCACUUUAAUCAGCCUGCAACUGCACUUUUCGUGCAUGAGAGCAUGACAAGGGAGGGUAUGUGCUAGAAAGCAGUGGUUAACACUGUACCGCAUUAGUUACCAAGCAGGGAUUAACACUGUACCGCAUUAGUUAGCAAGCAGUGAUUAACACUGUACCGCAUCAGUUAGCAAGAGAUAUGUUUUCCAAGCAAGCAAUCAGUCAACUUACUAGAAGAUGUGGUGGGGGUGGAGGAGGUGGGUGUACUGCCGGGGGUAACUGUUGUUGGUGCACCUGAGAAGAUGAUUGGUCAUUAAAGAUCAUAGCACAUUGAUUGGUCAUUAAAGAUCAUAGCAUAUUGAUUGGUCAUUAAAGAUCAUAGCAUAUUGAUUGUGAGUUGAGAGGUAUGCAAGUCUUCAAACAGACAUACUCCGUGAGUAGAGAUGAAACGGUAUGAAAAUGUAACAUCGCGAUUAUAGUCACCAAAAUGAUUAUCAGUAUUAUUGCGGUAUUGUUAAACUCAGCUGAAAAUGUUCAAAAAGUACUGAUACACAAACUGAAAUAAUUUAAAAAAAGUUUUAUAUUGAUACUCUCAAAAUAUGGGCACAAGUCAGACAGAAAUUCAGCAUUAAAGACUUGUCCAUGCAUAGCCCAAACAACCUCUUCCCUGCAGCUAGAUUGGAUCAUGUGGCAAAGAGUUGGGCUUGUUAGAUGUAAUGACUUUUACAUUGAUGGUCUGUUUGCUAGUUUCCACAAACUUGCUGAAAUUUUAAACUACAAACAUUAAACCUAUUCCGAUGCUCUCCGGUCCGUCACUUUAUUCAGACCUUUAGUUCAACCAUCCCCCAUCUUACCAGCUAUUUCAGUUUUGGAUAUUGUCUUAAAAACUCUUCUGCAACGUAAAGCAGAACUAAACUGGCUGAAGAGCUUUGGGUACAGAUGUCUGAUGCAACAUGGAACUGCACUUAAAGUAGGUUUAUGGAACAACCUUGUGUAUCUGUCUCAACCUGAUACAGUUUAAAGUCGAAUCUAUCAUACUAAAUCAAAACAGACAAGAAUGUUCCCUUUUAUUGAUGACAGCUGUGACUGGACAUGGCCCAUAUGGGGGGUGUAGUAUGUGUUGGGGUGUCAUGGGUAUAGUAAUGUUGUUAAUGUUGAAUGUUAAAACAUUACAGAACAAUACUUGAAUAAAAAAAUAUGAUAGCAAAAAGAGAGUGUCUUGGAUUGGAUGUCUUUGACUGCAGAUGAGAGGUACUUACCACUAAAUUGUUCUGUGUUAAAGACAUGGGAAGAAGUUGGGGGCGGUGUACUAUCUGUGAUCAUAUUAACCCUCUACAAUCACAAGGUAAACGUGAAGUCUUCAGAACUAUGUACGUACAAUGAAACAUCAAUAUGUAAUGCCUUUCUAGCUCGUGAUUUCUCGUCAGAUGCCAUCACCUUUGUUCAUCUCAAAUACAUUUUUUUUCUAUUGAAUGUUAGAAACUUGUCUUCCUGGCAUUAUGUGCUUUUAAAAAUACUUUAACGGUAACACAAUAUCUCCAAUCAAGGAAUUCGUCCGUGGAAGUGGAAGAAAUUUCUGAUAAUGUUUCGAGUUCAUCUGAUAAUGUUUUAAGUGCUGCUGAGCCAAGUUUAGCUAAUGCUAGCAGCAGCAUACAAACAGCCACUACAGCACCAACUAGCCCUGCCUGCUUUGCUUCUACAAACGGUGAGCCAUCAUGUACCACAGCUGCCCAUAUCUGGGACACUGACACCUGCACUGACGACGCACAUGAUACUGCUUUGGUCAUCUAGCACAGCUGGAUGAUAACGAGAGCAGUGAUGUCAACAAUGUGAGUAACACCAAUGGUGAUACAGUGAUCAGUGAAGACCCAGUAUUAUGGCGUGACAAAUUUACAGAUAGAGAGAGAAUUGAAAUUGUUAAAACAGGACCUGUACAAAUUCGGAACUUUCAGUUGAAAACAUUCAGAAACCGAAGUAUAAAGAAUUACAAGUUACAUUGUUUUGAUAAAGUAAUCAAAAAGUUACACUACUAUUACACUGCACUCAAAACCUCAUAAUUCAAAUAAUUUACAACUGUUUAGUUAAGUCAUAUACUCACAAUAAAUGUCAGUUUCACAUAACAUUAAGUGUGUGUGUGUGUGUGUCUGGUUGGGUGUGGGGUUGGAGGGGAUUGUUGCUUUGGUGGAUUUCUUUUUUUGGGGGUUGGGGGUUGUUCUUUUCCCAGGGCCUCCAAUUUGCUAAAACCGCCCCUGCGUGGGCGUUCAAGCCCGUAUAUGGUCGGGGCUACUGCUUGCGCCACAUUGCCCCCCACAUACCACUGCUUCUAAUGGGCAUUAUAAUAGUAAUGAUAAUGGUAAUAACAAUAAUAUAUAAUUGGACAGAUGAUGAGCCCAGUACAUCAACUGCAGACAAAGACAAAGACAAAGAGCCAGACCCAGAUGAGAACAGAACAGACUUGGAAAACAGGGAAAGGAGAGACGACACAGUCACUACAGGAUAGGAUGCCAACAAGGGAGGAUAUUGAGAUGGCAAAAUCCAUGAAUACAGAUUUUAGUACAAUCAGGCCUUCAUCAAAUUUUCCCAUAAAGUUCCCAUAAAAUGCCCAAGGGCGCUCUUUUCAAACCCACUGGUAUAAUGAUGACCCCUGGCUGGAAUAUUCUCCACAGAAUGAUGCCAUGCUCAAAUAAAUUGCUGUAUUUGAGUGUUUUAUGUAUUACUAUUAAUAAAGACCCUGUUCUUCUCAGUUUUCCAUACAGUCCAUGUGAUUUUUUUUUUGCUGGGGGGGGGGGGGGGGUUGCCCUUUUUUCAGAUCAGAGCAAUGGCCCUUCAGAAUUCCUGUGCACGUACCUGCACACACACACACACAUACUGACACACCUAAAGAUAGUAUUAUUUCAUGUCAGCCAGUUUACAACUGCUACACUAAUCAUGUAUGAUGGUGUGCAAGAGUAUGUUCUUGAACGCAGUGAUAAAAUCAACACUGCAUUAGUCACCAAGAGAUAUAUUUCAAAUCAAUUAAGCAUUAUUAGACUUACUACGAGAUGUCGUGGUGGUGGUGGUCAUAGUACAGGUGGUGGAUGCUGUUGUACCUGAGAAGAUUAUUGGUGAUUAAAAAUCAUAGUAUAUUGAUUGUGAAUUGAGAGAUCUGAAGAUAAGUAACGCUUAAUAUAGACAUACUCUGUGAGCAGAGCAGAAACCUCUCAGAAGCAUUUCCAUAUGUGGCAGGUACUAUUCUGCAAUGCACUCUUUUGUCUCAACUAUCAUUAGUGAAACUUUGAAAUGGAAUUCCUUUCCAUUACAGUGAGUUUACAAACAUUGAGGCUAUCUAAUAAACAGGUCCUUUGUGUAUGCAGCCAUGCAUCCAGUCAUUCCUGGAACAAUUCUAAAGCCAUAGACCUUUGGUCACUAGAUUGAUGGCAUACUGGUUCAGAGUUCAGAGAUCUGGUAAGAAAUAAUCACAGCCACAUGCAACAAUUUGCCACUGUGUACAACUGAUUUAAUGGAACACAAAUAAAACAGGUGCUGAUAAAGUACAUUCCUAGUAUAGGCCUACUUUAUACUAUUCCAAGUUUCUUGCAAAGCUUCUUGUUUUCUCAUGCUUGUUAACUAACCAAAAAGGGCUUACUCCCUUGCACAUGGUAUCCUUGUCAUCCUCUUUUUUUCUUUCACAGUCCAGUCAGAGCGGAACAACACUCAAUGGUGAUUGGCUAAUUUUUCUAAAGAAAUUGUGAAAGGAGGUCAAGUGGGUGUGAACCUAGUUUGUUUUCCCCUCUUCAGCAUUAAAGGACAAUACUUAGGGACAAACACGAUCGAAAUCAGUCCAGUAUUGAGUUAGAACGUUAGAACGGCAACCGCAAAAUGGGACAAGCUUCUGCGUCAAAGUAAACUGCUUGUUUUCACCACUGACAGGCUCAUAAUGUUAAUAUUAAUAUUAAUAUAGUGUCUGACAACAUGAUCACUAUAGAGACAGACCUGAGUCUGUUUACCUUCAAUAACUAAAGAAACUGUAGAAAAUGACUGUAUGUCCCAUGAAUGUAUGUGCAAGUCGACUGUCAAGCGAGAAGCUUUCGAUUUGACAUUGAAAAGCUUCCCUGGAACCAGAAUCACAGUAAAAAUAUAAUGUGCAUCAUCAAAAUUGAUAUAUUAUGAUGUGAAAAGUUUCAUUAAAGUAUAUUUCACAGGUGUGUUGUUAUUGCAAUUUCCACGUCUCUAGUUUUUUUAUCCAUUUUUGUAGUCAUAUGAGACCAAAAUAGAGCUUUCUGGCCAAUCCUCAAUGUGCUACAGAUGGCAUAAAUCUAACACUGCCAAUGCCAAUUCCAUCCCAAUGGUGAAAUAUGUCAAUGGCAACAUCAUGAUGUAGGGAUAUUUCUUGUCUGUAGAAACUGGGAAAGUUCAGAAAUAAAUUAAUCUUACCUGGCACCUUGUCCAUGAGACAACCUGAAAUGAGAAGACCCAUGUUAAUUAUGAACUAUUUAAAUAUGUUAGAUCAGUAAAUCCUGUUUGGUCACUAACCUUGAAUGUUAUGGGUGAAAUCUGUAUCAUUCACUAACAUAUAUAUCCUUGGGUUUUGAAACCCUAGGGGCUCCUGGCAGGAGAUAGAAUACUAUGGAAGUCCAAAAGGGAAAGGAGAAGGAAAGGGGUAAGCAUAAGUUGUUUGCACAUACGCACAUGUCUGACAGCAUCUUUAUUCUAGCAUAAUUUAAAUGGACCUACCAACAUUUACCCUCAUUUGAUUAGAACACUGUACAGCAAUUUAUAUCUGACCAUAAUUUUUAGAUGUGAUAGAACUACAUCAAUACUACAAGAAAGUAAAAACUAGUGGAGAUAUUCAUUUUUUAAAUGAUUUAUGAUUUAUUUGAUUACUGUAAAACAUUCCGCAACAGCUAUUCCCAUGAAUACAUGUUGCAAAUUAUCCCUAGGGUUUUGAUGUUCUGAUGAUCUGAUGAUCCCUAGGGUUUGGAUGUUCUGAUGAUGUUCUAAUGAUCCCUAGAGUUUGAAUGUUCUGAUGAUCUAAUGAUCCCUAGGGUUUGGAUGUUCUGAUGAUCUAAUGAUCCAUAGGGUUUGGAUGUUCUAAUGAUCCCUAGGGUUUGGAUGUUCUGAUGAUCUAAUGAUCCCUAGGGUUUGGAUGUUCUAAUGAUCCCUAGGGUUUGGAUGUUCUAAUGAUCCCUAGGGUUUGGAUGUUCUGAUGAUCUAAUGAGCCCUAGGGUUUGGAUGUUCUGAUGUUCUAAUGAUCCCUAGGGUUUGGAUGUUCUGAUGAUCCCUAGGGUUUAGAUGUUCUGAUGAUCCCUAGGGUUUUGAUGUUCUAAUGAUCCCUAGGGUUUGGAUGUUCUAAUGAUGUUCUGAUGAUCCCUAGGGUUUGGAUGUUCUAAUGAUCCCUAGGGUUUAGAUGUUCUGAUGAUCCCUAGGGUUUGGAUGUUCUAAUGAUGUUCUGAUGAUCCCUAGGGUUUGGAUGUUCUAAUGAUCCCUAGGGUUUAGAUGUUCUGAUGAUCCCUAGGGUUUGGAUGUUCUAAUGAUCCCUAGGGUUUGGAUGUUCUGAUGAUGUUCUGAUGAUCCCUAGGGUUUGGAUGUUCUGAUGUUCUAAUGAUCCCUAGGGUUUGGAUGUUCGGAUGAUCUAAUGAUCCCUAGGGUUUGGAUGUUCUGAUGUUCUAAUGAUCCCUAGGGUUUGGAUGUUCUGAUGAUCUAAUGAUCCCUAUGGUUUGGAUGUUCUGAUGAUGUUCUGAUGAUCCCUAGGGUUUGGAUGUUCUGAUGAUCCCUAGGGUUUGGAUGUUCUGUUGAUCUAAUGAUCCCUAGGGUUUGGAUGUUCUAAUGAUCCCUAGGGUUUGGAUGUUCUAAUGAUCCCUAGGGGUUUGGAUGUUCAGUACAAAUUCCAACCCAAUCUAGUGAAAAAUAAGCAGUUGGUGAGGCUUAGAAAUACACAUACAAAAUAUGGCAAAAAUAAUUUGGGGUAGAGCUAUAGGAUUUUGCAUGAUCUCAUGAAUUAAAUAGACGUUUUCACAUAAUUUGUUUUCAAGAAAAUCCAUGACAUAUAUGAAAUGACCCCAGGCCUUAGUGUAUCUCUUAACAUGUACCUACAUUUGACUUUGAAGGCAAACGUUUUCGAUGUAAGUAAGUAAAUCUGGAUUUUGUAGGCACCUCCGGUAUAUUGUUGGUGUCAUACAGAAAGACGGCCGAAAGAAUGUUCUAGACAGUCAAUUUCACUGAAACAAUGUUAACCAUUCUAUAAAUAGUCAUAUUGCUAGCCAUGUAUGAUAACUCAAUUGUUGUCAAAGUGCUGACAUGUUUUUAAAGGACACACAUUUAUCUAAUUCUAUAGAAAUGAUCAAAUAGCGUACAUUAUCAUUCAAGCAGUAAAUCAACGUCUUUGUUUUUUUAUUAGUUUCAUUGCAAGACGUAUUGGGCUUAUCAUCACUGCAAUUCCUGUUCAUGCAGUAGCUGUUAACAAGGGCCCGUAGGAGAUCGUCACAGCUGAUCUGGAAAUAAACAAAACCAUCUGUAAGUCUAUUAGCCUCUCGUCUAAGGUUAUUGUUAAGCAGUUGCACAGAGACAUGUCACCUUAUCACCACAGCCGAGUGGAAUCUCUAAUCGAAAAUCUCUGGGGAUGCUAUUAGCCUGAAAAUGAUAGGACAUAAACAUGUCAAAUGUAUUUGUUUAUUUAUUUGUGAUGACCACAUAAAUCCAUUGUAGAAAUGCAUAGUUACCUUCAGUGAUGAAGAGUGUUUCCACUGUGCAACACUGAAGCCUGACAAGUUUUAAAAAGUACAAUGUGCUUCCACACAACCUCAUAUAAGAUAUAUAAACAUCUGUAACUACCGGUGACGUGCGGUGAGGGUCGUGGUUGGUGAGGCACUGACUCUUUCAGAGUCAGAUUUACAAAUAUAUAAACCCAAUAGAGUAUCUUAAAUCACCAUUCAAUUGGCAGCUUGCACAUUGACUACUGGUUGUUUUUCAUAUCAGCAUUCUUUACACAUAGGUAAGGUACAUACAGUUGGCAGCUACUAGCUUGUGAUGAGCUCGUGUUAAUAUGUGUGAAUAUGCACUCAUGAAUAUGAUCUCUUUGAUACGAAGUUGCACAGGCACCCUGAGGGUUUCUACCUUUUCCCAUUAUAAUUUUAAGAGUUAAAUCGAGGAGACUAUAACAUCAGCUAGAUAACUAGCUAUCAUUUCAUGCACAUUGAACUCUUCUAUUUAAAGUAACACUAUGCAACAAUUUGACACUUUUUGAGAUAUGUUUUUAUAGGCAACUAGUUUUGGUACCAUCCUCAAAUGAAUUUUGAUAGCAUAUGGUCAUGUGAAGGACAGAUACACACCUGUGUCUUCCCCACUAGCCAUCCAGGAUAUGCCUUAUGUAGUUCUGUGUAACAGGCUGGUACACCCUGCAAAAAUGGAAGAAAGCUUUCUCGCAUGACAUUGCCAGUUAAACUGCCAAAAGGCACCAGUUUGUGUGUUGGCAAGCUUCUAUCAGUGUCAACUGUGCUGUCGGUGGUGUUUGCAAGGUUUUUGCAUGCCUUUUAGGUAGUUAGCUUAUUGGUUUUGGAACAAAAAACGUAUUGCUGCUUUAAAGCGUUUAAGGUUAUUAAGUGUCAUUAGCUAGCUAAUUAGCUAACAUAGCAACUAGAUAACCAUAGCAACCAGGAAACACAACUUUAGCUGCAAUUUAAGUUUAAUUUCUCAAAAUCAGCUCACCAAUAAAAAGCAGUGUUGGGUUCAAAGUGAUCACAACCUCUUGUGUGAUGUUAAAUGGCUUCACAUAGACAUUAAACAAUCCUAAGAAAAACAAUGGGAAAUCAACGGAGCAAGGGCUCUGAUAUCUAUAUAAUGUUAGCGAAUGAAGGGUGAGAAGCCCAUUGCUAAUAUUUAGUCUCCGCUGUACGUCCAAAACCAAAUCUAUUCUUGAGGUUCCAAACAUUUUCAAAGCAAUUUGGCUUUGAAUGUGAGUAGUCGAUCAAGUUAUCUUCUGUCCCGUCGUUUGAAGCAUACCUUUAAGCGCCUUUUGGUCUCCCAUUAUUGAUCACUUAACGUUUUGAAUGAAAGUCCAGUUUUGAGAAAUGUUUUAACUUAGCUAUAGAAUCUUCCAUUUUUGCAGUCAAUGUCAAAUAUAGGUGUAGUAGAAGAAGAGCAACGCAGAACAAGCAUAAACCCGAUCGGUGGGCUCGUGCACGCCCCUUCAUUGAGGCAGAGGUACUGUUUGCAGAAACUCUGUGCUUUUUCACUGCGGUUUUAUGUCAGAUCAGCAAGACUAAAUAGGUACUAUGCAUGCGCUCAACCUAGUUUGUGAUGGAUUGCGCAAUCUGAGAUGAGGCUGUCGCUACCGGAUGGUAGUCCUCUACCCGAUAGUAGUCCCGCACAUCGCGCAUGCUCAGACACAAAAGGUUUACGGCAGAAGGCUCAACGUCAACAUAUGGGGCUGUCUUAACGCAUAAUGUGGGUAUAUUUAAUGUAAUAUUAAAUUAUUAAAAGUGUGGAGACGGAGUAAGGGUAAAAGGCAAAUAGUUUGUAUAAUGAAGAAGUGAGAAAAUAUAGCAGUAGGUAAAACAAAUAAAGCAUUGAUGUGCUAGCCAAUAGAACUUGACAGGGAGAACAAAAGAGGAUAUCCAGUAUAUCUUUAACUUCUUUACUUCUUUAUUAUACAAACGUUAAGAACUUACAGCUGUAUACAAUGACCAAACUUCUUAAAGUAUACCGUCUUUCACGAACUUCCAUCAGCUUUAGCCAGCGAUUGUAUUCCGCUGUCUACAGUGUCGCAAAGUGGCGACUGAUCGGGUAGUGCGCAUGCGGACUACCAUCGGGUAGAGGACUACCAUCAGGUAGCGACAGAGGCACAGCUCGUCGCUGCCUCACCGUCUCACUGUUUCCUGUCUGUUUGAACAGGACAUGCGCAAAUUCAGCGAUUUUUAUUAUAAAAAUGCUCGAAAUGAUUGGAAUCAUGCAUAAAUUACAUUUAUAGCACAGAUCAGUAGAGAAAUAGUAAUAUUUAUUUUAUCAUUAUUUGUUUUUUUACUUUUCAUGAUGACAGGUGAGGCUCUGCCCCCCCUGCCUUCCCUGACCGCACGUCCCUGGUUACUACCCCUUAGCGAAACAUAUGAUCCAAACAACAUGCAUAACAUGGUAGUCUGGCUGUCUUUAAAGCAGCAGUAAGGGGCUUUGAUCUAAAACUAGCAAGCUAACUACCUAAAAGGCAUGUAAAAACCUUGCAGACACCACCAACUAUAUAGUGCAUGUCCUGCAUGGCUAGUGGGAACAACAGGUGUGCUUAUUUGUCUAUCACAUGACCAUAUACCAUCAAAGUGUAUUUGAAGAUAAUACCAAAACUAUUUGCCUACAAAAGCGUACCUUACAAAGUGGCAAAUUGUUGCGGUUUUCCUUUAAAUCUGAGCAUUUGUGUAUCCCAGGAAAUCUAAAUUACAGACUUGCAAUUAGUUUUAAAGGUGGAAUCCUUGAAUAUUGUAUGACUCAGUCUGAGCCACUGUGUUUUCCCUGUUUACAGAGCCAGGGCUAGGUUUCCAGAACGUGUUGCAAGCCUAAGUAGUAAAUCACUCUUACGAAUCAUCUUAGAUUUUCGGAGCAUUUCCCAAAAGCAUCGUAAUUUGUAAUACGACUUAACAACAAUACAUUUGUCAAUGUUAAAUGCAAGGGUACGCUCCCAUCCUUCAUUAUAUUUUAUUCAGCGUCUAUUCAGUCAUCAGCAUUUAGCUUUAAAAAGUUAGGCUAUUUUAAGCUUAUAGAGAUAUGUUUAAAAUAUAGACACAUCAUUGGCAAAGUUAUUAAAUGAGACAUUGACAGUCGUUACUGAUUCCAUUUGUCUAAGUUUAGCUCUUUUUUUGAAGGGGGCAGGUAGGGAGGCAUAUUGUAGACUACAUUCAGUAGGGCCUAGGCCUAGCUCACAAGUUGGUACAGAAAGCGGAAGAGAUUAGGGGACUUGUGCUGUGUCAAAAUCAACCGUAUAUUUAACCUAUUUACUUAUUUCCUCACUAUCGUCCUCGACAUCUUCUUGAUCCUUUUUGGUGAUGAGAAGUGUAAUGGAUUAUAAUCAAGGACAGCACCUUCAACGUAAUUACAUUUAUCUACAAAACUGUCAGUUUUUACAGUGUCCACUGCUGAAUUUAAUUUUUUGUAACAGCACCUUUAUCAGCACAUAAAAACUUACCCACUCCUUAAUGAUUGGGAUAUACGGACAGUUGGGGUCUGUAGCAGCAACAAAUCGACACUGUAGUAUUAUCUGUGCAAGAAAUUAUUAAUAUAUUAACACCCAAAAACACUAUAUUAGACAGUGCAUGUCAAAUAGAGAAAUAUAAUAAAAGAGAAUAACAACAUAAUGUAUAAUAUAAGUUAUAAUGAAGUGAAACAAAAAGAAACACCAGUUUGGAUUGCGUGGCAUACAGUUGCAGAACCUGAUAAAUAUGAUAUUGCUACAGAUAAAAACCAUUACCCUUCAUGAAACUGUGGGCUUAGCAUCAGCAAUGAUCAACAAUUUGGCAAUCUACUCACAAUUAGCAGUGUUUUUAUGGUGGAGGAUUUCCCACUCGUCACAUGAUGUGACACAUGAAAAUCAUCAACAAUCAUCUCCUCAUGAAAUACCUUACACAGAGAGAAACGCAUGGGAUUCAGUGAAGAGUUUUAAAACAUAUCAUAUUCAAUCUGAUGACUUCCUAUCAUUCAAUCUGAUCAGUUCAGUUCAGCCAGCCUCCUUCCGAAAGAAGAGCUGGAUCAUGGGCAUCAAAUCGAUAUUCUUUUAUUUUAUUAAUUAUAAAUGUAUUAUUUAUCAACCAUAGUAGGGGGUAGACAUGCAUGUCAGUAAAUUAUGAUCAAUUGUUGUAGCAAAAGCAGUCAUAUCAUAACUGUAUGGAUUAUUGUAGUUGUUGUAUUAUUUUGGAGGGGAAUAUUUGCUGACUUACUCCUCAUGUGAUUCAUUGUAGUUUUGUGGUCAACCUCACAAAAGGGCCACUAUCUCAGCAGUCUACCAUUUUUCUUAUAAACGCUCUCAGCCAGAAUGGAAAAAGGUGACAGGCUGGAAAAAAUUGAAUAUGCUUAAAUAUGAGAGGUACAAUGCAAAAUCUGAUCGUUUUCAAGAUUUUAAAAUAAAAGUUGGCGUGCGCAGCCUUUCAGGCGUGUGGCCUACUGCCCACUAGAGGCCACAUUCACAUACACUGACACAGCAAAACUAGUGAGGCUGGGAAAACAAGAAUGUGUAUCCCUUCUAUGUAUGGGCCGAAUCUGUUUGUUAGAAGGUGUAGAACAAGAUUCUGAAAUGCAGUAUAAAGUGAGGAAUUGUCGUUCCUAUAGCGUGUACAGCCUUUCAGGCGCGUGGUUUAUUGAACUCUAUAGAACGAGUUGACAUACACCGAUACUGGAACGUUAGCUUUAUUAAACUCUUCCAUAUAUUUAAUCAAUGGAGCUUUUUUGGCAACAUUCUGAAGAGCCUUGUAAUAAGUAAGGGAUAAUGUACUGUAUAGUCCGCUGGUCAUUAUUGGAAAAUAACUCCUUUCAGGGCGAAAGAGUCGCAUGCCAUUGAAUGGGCUACCAUAACGUUCGGAGGUCUGAUAUUUCUUUAUAUUUACCGCUGCAAAAAAAUGAAUGACCGCUGCCAUUGGCAACGGGUUUUGUGCUGAUAAUUCACAUCUUUCAUAUCAUACCAUCUCCGCUGCGCAUCGGGGUCCUGUUCCACCUGUCGGGAUUUAUUGUCCAAUACCCAGCGGACUUUACAUGAUCCCUUACAUAUUUCACUUUCUUAAAUUAGAAUCUAUAAUCACAAUUAACACGAGGCAGACAUGCACAUUAUGAUCAAAAUUACGUUUACUUUCAACACUCACUGUACCGUGCGCCUUGGAGCCACCGUUUUAAAUCAAGACUGACUAGCCUAUUACCUGAUAGUUUCUCCACUGAGACUGCUUCAACAUUUCCUGAAUCUAUGGCACGUUGUCGCCAAAGCCGCGCCCCAUUACGAGCGAGCUGGUGUCGUUUUGCAAAGCCCCCCUAUACUAAUGCUAGUUAUACCAGUAAGUCUCACUGAAGUUACAAAAUGAACAUGUAAAAUGAACUUAAACCCUUUGAUGAAAUCUAAUGUAAGCUAUAACAUCAAAGAAAGUAAAGUAACAUUUACAACAAGUAACAGUUAUGUUUACAAUCCAAUCUGCUCUCACCCAUGUAGAGGAGAAGGGACAACACUCACUUUGGAGACUGGAAGUGAAAGGUUUUUGGUUGAGGUGUUUCGGUUUCUGAACAGUCUCUGGAGUGACCUCUCCUUUGUCGUCACACUCACGGCUGUCCAGGGAAAAAUAAUUGAUGUCUCCUUUAGUCCUUUCAUUAUGUGUGUAUGGGGCUGUUACUUUUCGUUAACUUUCCCAUACGCUCUAAUACGCAGACCAUACCUGCCAACUCUCCCGUUUUUCCCGGGUUUCUCCCGUACUCUCUGACCCAUCUCCCGCCCCCUUCCGUUAUGUCAUUUCUGUAUGAAACGCAAUCAUGUCUUACACAAUAAAUACACUAUACCAUAUUCAACCCAUUUGUCAAUAUGGCAACCUAUAUCAUAUUGCGCAAUUGAUUUUACUGCGUAGCAGUGCCGGAUUAUCAGGGGCGAUGUGUUCCUUUGGGCAAGGCGGGC
Molecule: long non-coding RNA, 13127 nt
Organism: Clupea harengus (Atlantic herring)
Lineage: Eukaryota; Metazoa; Chordata; Actinopteri; Clupeiformes; Clupeidae
Source: Ensembl